Non-coding RNA from Leptonychotes weddellii (Weddell seal), 892 nucleotides. NCBI's taxonomy places the organism in Eukaryota, Metazoa, Chordata, Mammalia, Carnivora, Phocidae. The record is from RefSeq and is a predicted model, not a curated record.
AAGUGGGAAAAGCAAAGAUGAACAAUUUCCAGUUGCCUCAGCAUGAAGUCUUUAAUGAUGAAGAUGAGGACAGAUUAUCUGAGAUCUCUGCUCGCUCUGCAGCUUCUAGUCUCCGGGCUUUUCAAACUCUGGCACGAGCUCAGAAAAGGAAGGAGAAUUUCUGGGGCAAAACAUAAUUAAAUAUCUAUCUAGUUGAGUUGCUUAACAAUCUAGGGCACCAUUGGCAUAAUUUUUCUUUAUUGCUUUACUGUGUUGAGAUUUUUCAAGUGUUUGGAUUUUUUUCCCCAACAUUUCCUACUUAAAAAGAAUUGGUUGACUUUUCAAUAGCCAUUUCAGUUUACUUGGAAAAUUUUAACACAGGUUCAUACAAAUUCAACUUAAAGAAUUCUUUUGACACCUAUCCCAAAGUACAGAGACAUAGAUUUCUUCACAUGUUGUAAGUUUUGUAUCAAGGAUAGCUGGUAGAAUUGUGAAUUUUACCUAUCCACAGAAUAUUCUAAAAAAUGAACAAAGUGAAGUAAAAAUUAAGAUCCAAGUGUGACGUAUAUAUUCCUUGAAGAUUGGUUAUAUGUAUCUUUAUGAUUUGUAGAUGUCAUAAGAUGAAUUUGUUGUUCCUGUAACUUUUGCUGUAGCAUUUCUUUUUAUUUUAGUACCUUCUGUAUGUGGUUGCAGUGUUAAAACAAUUGUACUUUAAAUUGAAAAUACGAGCUGUAUAUAUUUUUCUUAUUUAUGUAACAAAGUUUGCUGAGAGAAUACGUAUAUUUUUGAUCUUUGUGUGUAUUUGUAUAAGGACUUUGGCUUACAUUUGAAUAAUGUCUCAAUUUUGAAAAAUUAUUUGUAUAAUGGAGAGUUAAAACUUUGUAGACAUUUUGAAAUAAAAAUUGAUCAAGUA